CGUGCCAGCAGCCGCGGUAAUACGUAGGUGGCAAGCGUUGUCCCGGAUUUAUUGGGCGUAAAGCGAGCGCAGGCGGUUUUUUAAGUCUGAUGUGAAAACCCUCGGCUCAACCGAAGAAGUGCAUUGGAAACUGGGAAACUUGAGUGCCGAAGAGGACAGUGGAACUCCAUGUGUAGCGGUGAAAUGGGUAGAUAUAUGGAAGAACACCAGUGGCGAAGGCGGCUUUUUGGUCUGUAACUGACGGUGAGGCUUGAAAGUAUGGGUAGCAAACAGGAUUAGAUACCCUGGUAGUCCCUACCGUAAACGAUGAAUGCUAAGUGUUGGAGGGUUUCCGCCCUUCAGUGCUGCAGCUAACGCCUUAAGCAUUCCGCCUGGGGAGUACGGCCGCAAGGGUGAAACUCAAAGGAAUUGACGGGGGCCCGCACAAGCGGUGGAGCAUGUGGUUUAAUUUGAAGCUACGCGAAGAACCUUACCAGGUCUUGACAUACUAUGCAAAUCUAAGAGAUUAGACGUUCCCUUUGGGGACAUGGAUACAGGUGGUGCAUGGUUGUUGUCAGCUCGUGUCGUGAGAUGUUGGGUUAAGUCCCGCAACGAGCGCAACCCUUAUUAUCAGUUGCCAGCAUUAAGUUGGGCACUUUGGUGAGACUGCCGGUGACAAACCGGAGGAAGGUGGGGAUGACGUCAAAUCAUCAUGCCCCUUAUGACCUGGGCUACACACGUGCUACAAUGGAUGGUACAACGAGUUGCGAACUCGCGAGAGUAAGCUAAUCUUUUAAAGCCAUUUUCAGUUCGGAUUGUAGGGUGCAACUUGCCUACAUGAAGUCGGAAUCGCUAGUAAUCGCGGAUCAGCAUGCCGCGGUGAAUACGUUCCCGGGCCUUGUACACCCCGCCCGGCACCCCCUGAGAGUUUGUAACACCCAAAGUCG
This 926-nucleotide ribosomal RNA is filed under the name Lactiplantibacillus plantarum. Its description in RNAcentral is "bacterial SSU rRNA". It matches the Rfam family "Bacterial small subunit ribosomal RNA", at positions 504 to 1429 of the family's 1533-position model. Lineage: Bacteria; Bacillati; Bacillota; Bacilli; Lactobacillales; Lactobacillaceae. The record is from RNAcentral.